CUAUACGGGAGGCAGCAGUGGGGAAUAUUGCACAAUGGGCGCAAGCCUGAUGCAGCCAUGCCGCGUGUGUGAAGAAGGCCUUAGGGUUGUAAAGCACUUUCAGUAAGGAGGAAAGGUUAGUAGUUAAUACCUGCUAGCUGUGACGUUACUUACAGAAGAAGCACCGGCUAACUCCGUGCCAGCAGCCGCGGUAAUACGGAGGGUGCGAGCGUUAAUCGGAAUUACUGGGCGUAAAGCGUACGCAGGCGGUUUGUUAAGCGAGAUGUGAAAGCCCCGGGCUCAACCUGGGAACUGCAUUUCGAACUGGCAAACUAGAGUAUGAUAGAGGGUGGUAGAAUUUCAGGUGUAGCGGUGAAAUGCGUAUAGAUCUGAAGGAAUACCGAUGGCGAAGGCAGCCACCUGGGUCAAUACUGACGCUCAUGUACGAAAGCGUGAGGAGCAAACGGGAUUAGAUACCCCGGUAGUCCACGCCGUAAACGAUGUCUACUAGGAGCUGGGGUCUUCGGACAACUUUUCCAAAGCUAACGCAUUAAGUAGACCGCCU
This 544-nucleotide ribosomal RNA is filed under the name bacterium A4T_VP5_H12. Its description in RNAcentral is "bacterial SSU rRNA". It matches the Rfam family "Bacterial small subunit ribosomal RNA", at positions 339 to 874 of the family's 1533-position model. The record is from RNAcentral.